AGUGAACGCUGGCGGCAUGCCUUACACAUGCAAGUCGAACGGCAGCGGGCCUUCGGGUGCCGGCGAGUGGCGAACGGGUGAGUAAUGCAUCGGAACGUGCCAUUGAGUGGGGGAUAACGUAGCGAAAGUUACGCUAAUACCGCAUAUUCUGUGAGCAGGAAAGCAGGGGACCGCAAGGCCUUGCGCUCUUUGAGCGGCCGAUGUCAGAUUAGCUAGUUGGUGAGGUAAAGGCUUACCAAGGCGACGAUCUGUAGCGGGUCUGAGAGGAUGAUCCGCCACACUGGAACUGAGACACGGUCCAGACUCCUACGGGAGGCAGCAGUGGGGAAUUUUGGACAAUGGGCGCAAGCCUGAUCCAGCCAUGCCGCGUGAGUGAAGAAGGCCU
RNAcentral lists this ribosomal RNA (385 nucleotides) under uncultured bacterium. Its description in RNAcentral is "bacterial SSU rRNA". It matches the Rfam family "Bacterial small subunit ribosomal RNA", at positions 29 to 417 of the family's 1533-position model. The record is from RNAcentral.